CCCAGACUCCUACGGGAGGCAGCAGUGGGGAAUAUUGGACAAUGGGGGGAACCCUGAUCCAGCGACGCCGCGUGAGUGAAGAAGUAUUUCGGUAUGUAAAGCUCUAUCAGCAGGGAAGAAAGAAAUGACGGUACCUGACUAAGAAGCCCCGGCUAACUACGUGCCAGCAGCCGCGGUAAUACGUAGGGGGCAAGCGUUAUCCGGAUUUACUGGGUGUAAAGGGAGCGUAGACGGCGAUGCAAGUCUGAAGUGAAAGACGGGGGCCCAACCCCCGGACUGCUUUGGAAACUGUAUGGCUGGAGUGCAGGAGAGGUAAGUGGAAUUCCUAGUGUAGCGGUGAAAUGCGUAGAUAUUAGGAGGAACACCAGUGGCGAAGGCGGCUUACUGGACUGUAACUGACGUUGAGGCUCGAAAGCGUGGGGAGCAAACAGGAUUAGAUACCCGGGUACG
Molecule: ribosomal RNA, 450 nt
Filed under: uncultured bacterium
Lineage: Bacteria
Description: bacterial SSU rRNA
Rfam family: Bacterial small subunit ribosomal RNA
Source: RNAcentral